UGGGGAAUUUUGGACAAUGGGCGCAAGCCUGAUCCAGCCAUGCCGCGUGAGUGAAGAAGGCCUUCGGGUUGUAAAGCUCUUUCGGCAGGAACGAAAUGGUACGUGCUAAUACCACGGACUGAUGACGGUACCUGAAGAAGAAGCACCGGCUAACUACGUGCCAGCAGCCGCGGUAAUACGUAGGGUGCAGGCGUUAAUCGGAAUUACUGGGCGUAAAGCGUGCGCAGGCGGUUUCUUAAGUCAGAUGUGAAAGCCCCGGGCUUAACCUGGGAACUGCGUUUGAAACUGGGAGACUUGAGUGUGGCAGAGGGGGGUGGAAUUCCACGUGUAGCAGUGAAAUGCGUAGAUAUGUGGAGGAACACCGAUGGCGAAGGCAGCCCCCUGGGCUAACACUGACGCUCAUGCACGAAAGCGUGGGGAGCAAACAGG
This 429-nucleotide ribosomal RNA is filed under the name uncultured bacterium. RNAcentral describes it as "bacterial SSU rRNA". It matches the Rfam family "Bacterial small subunit ribosomal RNA", at positions 355 to 776 of the family's 1533-position model. The record is from RNAcentral.